NNNNNNNNNNNNNNNNNNNNNNNNNNNNNNNNNNNNNNNNNNNNNNNNNNNNNNNNNNNNGUGCGCACGUGCACGGGGACGGCGCACGGCUCGCACAGACGUGCACACAGGACACGGCUUGCACGGGCACAGACACGGGGCACAGCUUGCACASACGUGCACRUGGACAUGGGACACGGCUUGCACGGAUGUGCACACGCACACGGCACACGGACACAGGGCACGGCUUGCACAGAUGUGCACACACGGCAAAUGGACACGGAGCACGGCUUGCACAGAUGUGCACACGAACACGGGGCACGGCUUGCACAGACAUGUACGCGGACAUGGGACACGGCUUGCACACACGUGCACACGGCUUGCACACCCACGGACGUGAUACACGGCCCACGGACGCGAUGCAAAGCUCACACGGACACGGCACACGGCUUGCACAUGGGGACACAACACGGGAUGGAACACGGGAUAGGACACGGGAUGUGACAUGGGACACGGGACACGCUGGCUUGCGCACACGGACAUGGCAGGGGACACAGCAGCUCGCACACGGGGACAAGGGACACGCGUGGCCCACGUGAUGGGGACACGGGACACCCGCGUUGGGGACAGCCAGCACACGGAGGCGCCCGCGGGUUGUCCCCCAUGUCCCCAGGCUGCCUCCGUGUCCCCGUGCCACCUGGUGUCCCACUGCCGACCCUGUGUCCCCGUGUCCCCRUGCCAUCGCRUGUCCCUGCUCCCUGGAUGUCCCCAUGCUGUCCCCAUGUCCCCAGGCCCUGUGCUGUGUUGCUGUGCCACCCCUGUCCCUGUGCCACCCGCACGGUGUCCCCAACUCCCACACUGUGGCCCUGUCCUCUGUCCCUGUGCCAUCACGCGUCCCUGGUCCUCACACUGUCCCUCAUCCCUGCACCAUCCCUUGUCCCCAUGUCACCUUGUGACCCCACGCCACCCUAUAUCCCCACAUCCCUGUGCUGUCCUGUGUCCCCACGUCCCUAUGCCAACUUGUGUCCCCACGCCAUCCCGUGUUCCUGUGCCAUCUCACAGCUCCAUGUCCCCAUGCCAUCCCGUGUCCCCACGCUGUCCCGUGUCCCUGUGCCAUCCUGUGUCCCCAUGCUGUCCUACAUCCCCAUGUCCCUGUACUGCCCUGUGUCCCUGUAGCGCCCUGUGUCACCAUGCUGUCCCAUGUCCCCACACCAUCCUGCAUCCCUACGCUGUCCUCUGUCCCUAUGUUAAGUCACAUCAUCGUGUCCCUGUGCCACCCUACGCUGCCCUGUGUCCCUGCAGCACCCUGUGUCUCCGUGCCAUCGCAUGUCCCCAUACUGUCCUACACCCCCAUGUCCCCGCAUUGUCCUGUGUCCCCAUGUCAUCCUGCAUCUCCUCAUCCUCCUGCUGUCCCAUGUCCCCGUGCCAUCCUGCCUCUCCUUGUUCUCCCACUGUCCCAUGUCCCCGUGUCACCCCACAUCCCCAUGUCCCCGUGCCAUCCUGCAGCUCCUCAUCGUCCCGCUGUCCCAUGUCAUCUCAUGUCCCCUUGUCCCCGUGCCAUSCUGCCUCUCAUUCUCCUACUGUCCCGUGUCCCCAUGCCAUCGCACAUCCUC
This 1592-nucleotide long non-coding RNA is filed under the name Dromaius novaehollandiae (emu). RNAcentral describes it as "lncRNA (ENSDNVG00000008023.1)". Lineage: Eukaryota; Metazoa; Chordata; Aves; Casuariiformes; Dromaiidae. The record is from RNAcentral.